RNAcentral lists this ribosomal RNA (180 nucleotides) under Symphurus thermophilus (Western Pacific tonguefish). RNAcentral describes it as "partial 16S ribosomal RNA". Lineage: Eukaryota; Metazoa; Chordata; Actinopteri; Pleuronectiformes; Cynoglossidae. The record is from RNAcentral.
UUAAAAGACAUAGUAAAACAUCUUAUAUGUUUAAGACGACGCCCAUUCGUUAUGGGCUGCCUUUGUACCAAUAAGUUAGCCUACUCAGAAAAAACAACAAUCCUUAUUAAUAACCCCAAAAACAAUAUAUUUAAUAAUUAAACCAUUUUUCCCCUUAAGUAUGAGCGACUGAAUGAGGGA